UUUUAUUCCUUGCUUUUUGAGAGUUUGUAUCAGAUAUGAUGUGUGUGUGUGUGUGUGUGUGUGUGUGUGUGUGUGUGUGUGUGUAGAGAGAGAGAGAAUAAUAACUGCUUCACAAUAAAGCUUUUUUGUGCAUAAAUAUAUAUGGGUGGGUAUGCUUGUCCUUUUAGCACACUGUCACUUCUUAUACCAUUCACUGUGCAUUCAUUUUUGCUUGAAACCACUCUCAGUACCAAAUUCUGACCUGUUACACCUGUGUAACCCCACUGAAGACCAAGAGGUUGUAUGGCUGUAACUGAGGGCAGAAUUUGACCUGUUGCUGGGAAAGAGGACUGUAAUCCAUGACUUUCAGAAGUAGGCCUCUAAUUUUGGGUGUGUAAUGGCAGCAGCUGCCAUUGACUUCAUUUGGAGUUGCAAGUGUGCAGCAUCUCUGAAAAUCGGGCCCUGGGUGUCUGAAAUUGGGCCUCCAAAAUUAGAGGCCACUUUUGAAAAUGUGGGCUUACAAAAGUGAAAGCCGUGAAUAGUGUGAGAUGUGCUGGAGCACACCAAGCAUUCUCAUGUCAUGUCUGCUCUUGGAUCUGGUGUAACUUGCAUCUUUGUUUUUCUCCACAGCCUUCCUGCUCCUGUUCACUUCUACCAAAGAUCUGGAAAAGAACUAAUUGUUGUCACCUACCUUGGGAGGCUUGUUUGCUACAGAGAGACUGAAGUUGCAGAUGAAACUAACGUCCACAUUGCUAUCCAACUCCACACCACAAUGCAGAAUGUUGAUAGCUUUGAGCAGUCUGACCCUAAAUGAAGAAACAUGGGGAGGGCUUCAGAUGGGAUACAGCAAAGCUGAUCUAUGCCUGCUACUGCAACAGGUCUACACGUGAUUUUUCAGCAAGCUAAAUUGCUAAAUUUAAGGAAAAGAAUCCCAGGAGAGUCGGAAGCAUACACAAGACCUAAUAAUCGCUAUAAUGAGUGUCUUCUUGAUAAUCUCCCUCCUACUCAUUCCGGGCUGCAGUUUCCUUUCUUACAAACUGAUGACAAAGGACAACACGACUUUGAAGAAAGAAGUGAAAUCUAUCACCAUCCAGUCUCACUUGCAUCAUGUUGAAACGAGGAUUGUCCUAUCUCCUUCCCAGCCUAUGCAAUUAGCUGCCCCCCAACAGAGGAGCUCCCAAGGAACCUCCCUCAUACAAACAUCACCGAUUUAUAAACAGCCUGGCGAUGUGCCACCGCUACGACCAGCCUCCAAUGUAUCUGCUGUCAGUUUUGCAUACACUGACCCUAGCACUGUUUUCUCAGCACCCAUACAAACAUCACCGAUUUAUAAACAGCCUGGCGAUGUGCCACCGCUACGACCAGCCUCCAAUGUAUCUGCUGUCAGUUUUGCAUACACUGACCCUAGCACUGUUUUCUCAGCACCCAGGAACCGUACUCCGGAAAGUUUUCUUUCUAACCUCUCAAAGUCAGGAAGCCUUUUUUCUAUGGAACAACAUGAUCUCUUUUAUGGGUCUUCCAGGAGUUCUUCCAGAGGGUCCAUGGACAACCCUGGAUACAAAUAUGAAGAUGGAGAAGGAAGCGGUGAUUCUGGGAGCAGCAUUUGUCCCAUUCAUGUGACAGACGAUCUACCUUUCACCAGACAUUAAUUAUAUUUAGGGUGACCAGAUCACUGACAGGAAAUAUCGAGACCGGGGGGGAGCAAAAAAAAACAAAAAACAAACAAACAAAAAAAGUAAAAAAAAAAAAAAAAAAAAAAAGCCGUUUUGCAGGUGCCGGGGGAAUUAGCAGGCCGCGGCCCCGCCCCCCCUGAGGGCCCCGGGCACAUGCGACACGU
Long non-coding RNA from Chrysemys picta bellii (western painted turtle), 1816 nucleotides. NCBI's taxonomy places the organism in Eukaryota, Metazoa, Chordata, Testudines, Emydidae. The record is from Ensembl.